RNAcentral lists this non-coding RNA (29 nucleotides) under Mus musculus (house mouse). The record is from RNAcentral. Lineage: Eukaryota; Metazoa; Chordata; Mammalia; Rodentia; Muridae.
UNGGAAAGUUCAGAACUCCUCGUACUGGG